CGAAGGAACCUUUCCUCUUCUGCUGUUGUCAAGCAAACUCGACUUGGAUGUCGAUUUCACCAGCUGAACGCAGUGACGUCUUUUUCAGGUGUUAGCUGUCAGGGGACGGGAUAAUACGAGAAGUAUGCUCGGAAUUAAACAGCGGCGAGGACUUUACACCCUUUUUACGACCACGGCCUGCGAGAGUAGCUAAUUCAAGUGUCAUCUCUACGGGCGUUAGACGACAUUUUCCAUGGAAGAUCAAAGAAUUUGAGCUUCCGAGAAACGGUCGUAGGACUAGCGUCGUAAAUCAGCCCCCGACCCACAAUAGUGAGGUGACAUCAAAGGCGCGUAGAGCCACGUUCACAUUUGGGCCAGAGCAACACAGGACACCGAACCUUUAUACACGCUGCCUGGAUUUUAAAACUUGGAGAAUGUCAGAAUAAAAUCUCGGCCCAUAACGCGCAAGAGCACGAAGGAUCCCUGCUUGAUUUGGUUAAUUACAGAGAACAUAAACCAGCGCUGAUUUACUAUCGACACAGCGUAAUAAAUCUCUCGCCUUUCGACCAAGCAUACAUGGCUUGUUUACUCACAAGCUUCCGUCAAGGAUACAGAGCAUGGAGACUGGUUUCUUGAUAUCAGUGCUGAGAAAGGAUGUAUCAUGUGAGUAUGUUGCGAACAAAAGAAUAAAAUCAAUUUCACUUAAA
RNAcentral lists this unclassified non-coding RNA (686 nucleotides) under Haliotis rufescens (red abalone). RNAcentral describes it as "uncharacterized LOC124152011, transcript variant X1". Lineage: Eukaryota; Metazoa; Mollusca; Gastropoda; Lepetellida; Haliotidae. The record is from RNAcentral.